This 309-nucleotide ribosomal RNA is filed under the name uncultured bacterium. RNAcentral's name for it is "partial 16S ribosomal RNA". It matches the Rfam family "Bacterial small subunit ribosomal RNA", at positions 504 to 809 of the family's 1533-position model. The record is from RNAcentral.
AGAGACAGCAGCCGCCGCGGUAAUACGUAGGUGGCGAGCGUUGUCCGGAAUUAUUGGGCGUAAAGGGAGCGCAGGCGGACAUAUAAGUCCAUCUUAAAAGUGCGGGGCUCAACCCCGUGAGGGGAGAGAAACUACUCAUCUUGAGUGCAGGAGAGGAAAGCGGAAUUCCUAGUGUAGCGGUGAAAUGCGUAGAUAUUAGGAAGGACACCAGUGGCGAAGGCGGCUUUCUGGACUGUAACUGACGCUGAGGCUCGAAAGCCAGGGGAGCGAACGGGAUUAGAUACCCGCGUAGUCCCUGUCUCUUAUACA